RNAcentral lists this non-coding RNA (133 nucleotides) under human gut metagenome. RNAcentral's name for it is "glmS glucosamine-6-phosphate activated ribozyme". It matches the Rfam family "glmS glucosamine-6-phosphate activated ribozyme aptamer", at positions 11 to 157 of the family's 167-position model. From Rfam's summary of the family: This entry contains a glucosamine-6-phosphate activated ribozyme that is found in the mRNA for GlmS. GlmS is an enzyme that uses fructose-6-phosphate and glutamine to generate glucosamine-6-phosphate. The ribozyme catalyses self cleavage of the glmS mRNA that is thought to regulate GlmS activity. The record is from RNAcentral.
UUAAUUAGCGCCAGACCUUUAAAUAGGUGACGAGGAUAACAGUUAUCGAAAAUUCGGCGGAUGCUGUUACGGUUUAUGUAGUCGUUAGAUAUAUUUUAAAAAGUAAAAUCAAGAUUAUAACAAAGAAUAUAUC